This 1473-nucleotide ribosomal RNA is filed under the name uncultured Bordetella sp. RNAcentral describes it as "partial 16S-23S ribosomal RNA intergenic spacer". It matches the Rfam family "Bacterial small subunit ribosomal RNA". Lineage: Bacteria; Pseudomonadati; Pseudomonadota; Betaproteobacteria; Burkholderiales; Alcaligenaceae. The record is from RNAcentral.
UUUGAUUCUGGCUCGAUUGAACGCUGGCGGGAUGUGCUUUACACAUGCCGUCGAACGGCAGCACGGACUUCGGUCUGGUGGCGGUGGCGAACGGGUGAGUAAUGUAUCCGGAACGUGCCUAGUAGCGGGGGAUAACUACGCGAAAGCGUAGCUAAUACCGCAUACACGCCCUUCGAAGCGGGGGACAUUCGGGCCUCGCACUAUUAGAGCGGCCGAUAUCGGAUUAGCUAGUUGGUGGGAGUAACGGCUCACCAAGGCGACGAUCCGUAGCUGGUUUGAGAGGACGACCAGCCACACUGGGACUGAGACACGGCCCAGACUCCUGCAGGAGGCAGCAGUGGGGAAUUUUGGACAAUGGAAACACAGUCCAGCCAUCCCGCGUGUGCGAUGAAGGCCUUCGGGUUGUAAAGCACUUUUGGCAGGAAAGAAACGGCACGGGAUAAUACCCCGUGCAACUGACGAGCCUGCAGAAUAAGCACCGGCUAACUACGUGCCAGCAGCCGCGGUAAUACGUAGGGUGCAAAGCGUUAAUCGGAAUUACUGGGCGUAAAGCGUGCGCAGGCGGUUCGGAAAGAAGAUGUGGAAUCCCAGGCUUAACUUUGGAACUGCAUUUUUAACUACCGAGCUAGAGUGUGUCAGAGGGGAGGUGGAAUUCCGCGUGUAGCAGUGAAAUGCGUAGAUAUGCGGAGAGACACCGAUGGCGAAAACCUCCUGGGAUAACACUGACGCUCAUGCAGAAAGCGUGGGGAGCAAACAGGAUUAGAUACCCUGGUAGUCCACGCCUAAACGAUGUCAACUAGCUGUUGGGGCCUUCGGGCCUUGGUAGCGCAGCUAACGCGUGAAGUUGACCGCCUGGGGAGUACGGUCGCAAGAUUAAAACUCAAAGGAAUUGACGGGGACCCGCACAAGCGGUGGAUGAUGUGGAUUAAUUCGAUGCAACGCGAAAACCUUACCUACCCUUGACAUGUCUGGAAUCCCGAAGAGAUUUGGGAGUGCUCGCAAGAGAACCGGAACACAGGUGCUGCAUGGCUGUCGUCAGCUCGUGUCGUGAGAUGUUGGGUUAAGUCCCGCAACGAGCGCAACCUUGUCAUUGGAUUGCUACGAGGGCACUCUAAUGAGACUGCCGGUGACAAACCGGAGGAAGGUGGGGAUGACGUCAAGUCCUCAUGGCCCUUAUGGGUAGGGCUUCACACGUCAUACAAUGGUCGGGACAGGGUCGCCAACCCGCGAGGGGGAGCCAAUCCCAGAAACCCGAUCCCGUAGUCCGGAUCGCAGUCUGCAACUCGACUGCGUGAAGAGUCGGAAUCGCUAGUAAUCGUGGAUCAGCAUGUCGCGGUGAAUGCGUUCCCGGGUCUUGUACACACCGCCCGUCACACCAUGGGAGUGGGUUUUACCAGAAGUAGUUAGCCUAACCGUAAGGAGGCGAUUACCACGGUAGGAUUCAUGACUAGAGGUGAAGUCGUAACAAGGUAA